This is a non-coding RNA of Arachis ipaensis, 3261 nucleotides long. The record is from RefSeq and is a predicted model, not a curated record. Lineage: Eukaryota; Viridiplantae; Streptophyta; Magnoliopsida; Fabales; Fabaceae.
UCGUGGUGGUUUUGAUAAUUAUGGCAGUUUUAAACCGCCAUUAUCACCUAGGUAUAAAAGAAGAAUUAUCAAUCCCUAAUUUCAGAAACCCUUACUUUGUUGAAACACUACGCCGUGGCGCUGAUGCUCCUGGUUGGCCUGUGCAACAAUCUUCGAUCCUCUUGCGUUCUCCAACAAUCUACCCCGGUGACAUCUCCUCUAGCAUUGAUCUCCUUCGGCGAUAUCUCCUACAGUGGCGAUUUCCUCCAGUGACGUCUCCUCCAACUUCCUCUCCUUGUCAUCCUCUAUGUCUUCUCCGCCAAAAUCGUCAAUGCCUUCCUUUACGACGAUCCAGAUCAGCUUCCUUUCCUUCCUUCUUUCCUUCCUUCCCUCUCCUUUCCUUCCUUUGUGAUGAGUCUCUCUUUUUAGGAUUUUGCAAGGAUUCGUCGCGAGUGGAGAAGUCAGUUUCGCAGUUUGCGCUGCUGACAACGUUCCUCCACAAUUUGUGUUCUGCCGCUCUCACUGUGCUCCCAUUGCCGAUAUUCGUCCAUUCUUCUGCUUGGUGCCUUUGCCGCCGUCCUUCGCUCUUCCAAACGUCUCAUUUGUGUUCCGUUUAUGUUUGGCAUUGUAUUUUCCAUUUCAGUUUUCAUCCAUUUGUUACAUUAAAGUGUUAGGAUUCUUGAUGAAUAAUAACUUCAUGAAUAAUAAACUAAACUAGGUUGAUGAAUUUAAACUAUAAUUAUGUUAGAUUGAGCAUGUCCUAUAAAGAAAAUAUCAGUACUAACUAAUGGAUUUUAAAAUUAUUCAUAAUAUUCUAAGUAAAAUUAGAAAGUAAUUCCUGCCGAGUGCCAUGCCCUGAGUUUGGAACCAAUUUACAAGUAGAAUAACUUUUGAUUCUUGUCUUUUUUAUACAGCAUAGAUAUCAUGGCCUUUUUUUGUGUUCUGUUUCGUCCAGUUACUGCCUAAUUGUGAUUAGUACCUUUAAUUUAGUCUUGUCAUUAGGGACAUCUUAUAUAAAGCUAUAAACUAUAUAUUAAAUUAAUUUUAUUCUUUAUGAUAUUUUUGGGUUUUGUGUGUUUUCUUCUUCUGGCUUCUAUCUUCAACUGCUUCACAAACGCAGUUUUUUUUUUUUUCAAUUCUUUUCUGCUUACUCAGAUUUUAGCUAAAUAUCAUACAGUGGGGUUGAGCAAUUUGAAGUAAGCUUCUAACUUUAUGUCAUUUUGGAUUUCUCUUCUUGUUUUUAAUUUCAGUGAAUAAUCAACUAAGUUAGAUAAUUUAACUAUUUUUGUCUCUGCUCAAUAAAGUGUAUUGAUGGAUCUGUGUUCUAUUUGUGCUUAAUGUUUUUAACAGUGGGUUUCUUAGAGAACUUUGGGUAAUUCAAGUGACUGAAUUUGAAAGUUUUAGUUUGGUUUGUUGGUUUGUGUUGGAGGGGGGGAGAGUAAUGGGAAUAUGGGUAUUGAAGUACAUGCAAAAUAUGUGUGAAGAUUAGUUUGAUUGAGAGUUUGUUUCUAUUUUUGACAUCUGAGUACAAUUUUUUUAGCCUUUAGUUUCUUCCAAUUUUGUGAUAGAACCUUUUUUAUUUUCUUAUUAAGUUGGCAUGUGGAGAAUUUUAACUAAUGCAAAGUAGUCAAUGCUUCUGCUUAAUCUUUGUUUCAAUAUGAGAUUUUGUUUUAUUUGUAGAAGAUUCAAAUCUCAUGUUAAUAGCAUUAAUUACCGUUUUCAAUAAUCUCGGCAUUUGGUUCUUUUUUUAGUUAAACAAGCAAUGUCAUGAGUUGAAACUUAUUUUACUUGGGGAUUUCAUUUUAAAUUCAUCUGUAUGUUACUUUUUUAAUGCUUCUUUGCAAUUGGACUUCUAUGUCACAUGCAAUUGGACUUUAUACAUUUAAAUUCAAUUUGCCCCUCCUUUGCAAAUUUAAGGAUUAUGAAAUUUGUGUUAGAAAAAUAUAGUUGAUGCAAUCAUUUGUUAUCUAUAUGUUACUUUUUUACUGCUUCUUUGCGAAUUUAAGAAUUAUGAAAUUUGUAUUAGGAACUUUUUUACAAUCUGUUGCCUUAUUUGAGCAACUAUUCUGCUUAUUGUUUUUAAUGAAUCUGUUGGUGAUAACUUUCAUGUGAAACAGGCUUUAGAUAUUUUAUAACUCUUGCUGCUAGAUAGUUUACUUUGAAAGUUUCAAGUUUUAAUAUUUGCUGGAAAAGAAAAAAGGAGGGCUGAUUUCUAUUUUCUACUUGUCCCUAUUAGUCAUGUCAAUCGAUAAGUCAUGACAAGUCAAUAGCUACUGGAAAUGCUUCUCUAGACAAAUCAGCAAUUGCUACGUACAUCUAAAAAUUCAUCUUCAUCACAGACCUUGUAUUCUUCUAAGCCAACAUCAGUUGCUCUAACUACAUCAGAACGUCCAUCAUCCGAAGCUAGAUGUAAGCGUGGACGUGAGUCUAAGCAUUAUUGGACUGUUGAUGCCAUAGUUUUGAGCUGCCAUUAUCACUUAGGUAUAAAAGAAGAAUUAUCAAUCCCUAAUUUCAGAAACCCUUACUUCGUUGAAACACUAUGUCAUGAUGCUGUUGCUCCUGGAUGUCCUGUGCGACGAUCUCCGAUCCUCUUGCAUUCUCCAACGAUCUUCUCGAGUGACAUCUCCUCCGGCAUCGAUCUCCUUCGGCGAUAUCUCCUACAGUAGCAAUUUCCUCCGGUGAUGUCUCCUCCAGCUUCCUCUCCCUAUCGUCCUCAGUGUCUUCUCCACCAAAAUCGUCAAUGCCUUCCUCUACAACGAUCCAGGCCGUUUGCAAGGAUUCAUCGCGAGUGGAGAAGUCUGUUCCGCAGUUUGCGCUGCUGACAACGUUCUUCCGUAAUUUAUGUUCUGUUGCUCUCGCUGCACUACCGUCGCCGAUGUUCAUCCAUUCUUCUACUUCGUGCCUUUGCCUCCAUCGCUCGCUCUUCCAAAGAUUUGAGCCGAAUAUCAUACGGUGGGGUUGAGCAGUUUGAAAAGAUACAACCACUAACUACAGAAGAAGCCAUGUACAGUAUAACAAGAAGCUUACAGCUUUGAAUUAGAGCAUUAAUGUUGGUCAACACCAAGUUGCUGAAUAUUUGAUUGUGAUCUCAAGUCUCAACUUCUGAAUCGGCUUGAAAAUAUCUUCUUCAACUCCUGCUGCUAGCUACUUUACUUUGAAAGUUUCAAGUUUUAAUAUUUGCUGAGAAAGAAAAAAGGAGGAUUGCUUUCUAUUUUCUACUUGGAAUGACUUAAAGGAUGGAAAUGAAACAUACAAAAAUGGAAGGAAAGCACAAAACAGAGU